GAUGAACGCUGGCGGUCUGCUUAACACAUGCAAGUCGAACGAACUACUUCGGAGUGAGUGGCGGGACGGGUGAGUAACGCGUGAGAAUCUGCCUGUGGGUCGGGGACAACCACUGGAAACGGUGGCUAAGUACCGGAUGAGCCGAAAGGUAAAAGAUUUAUUGCCCACAGAUGGAGACUCGGCGUCUGAUUAGCUAGUUGGUAAGGUAAAAGCGUACCAAGGCGACGAUCAGUAGCUGGUCUGAGAGGAUGAGCAGCCCACACUGGGACUGAGACACGGCCCAGACUCCUACGGGAGGCAGCAGUGGGAAUUUUCCGCAAUGGGCGAAAGGCCUGACGGAGCAAGACCGCGUGGGGGAGAAGGUUUUUGGAUCGUAAACCCCUUUGUCAAGGAAGAAGCUCUGACGGUACUUGACGAAUAAGCC
Molecule: ribosomal RNA, 424 nt
Filed under: uncultured bacterium
Lineage: Bacteria
Description: bacterial SSU rRNA
Rfam family: Bacterial small subunit ribosomal RNA
Source: RNAcentral